GCCCGGAUGGUGAAAUUGGUAGACACUGCGGACUUAAAAUCUGCUGCGACCUAAAAGGUGCGAGCCGGUUCGAUUCCGGCUCCGGGCACCA
This 91-nucleotide transfer RNA is filed under the name Burkholderia cepacia. RNAcentral describes it as "tRNA-Leu". It matches the Rfam family "tRNA". From Rfam's summary of the family: Transfer RNA (tRNA) molecules are approximately 80 nucleotides in length. Their secondary structure includes four short double-helical elements and three loops (D, anti-codon, and T loops). The record is from RNAcentral. Lineage: Bacteria; Pseudomonadati; Pseudomonadota; Betaproteobacteria; Burkholderiales; Burkholderiaceae.